UAUNGGUCAAUGGACGAGAGUCUGUACCAGCNAAGUAGCGUGAAGGAUGACUGCCCUAUGGGUUGUAAACUUCUUUUAUAUGGGACUAAAGUAUUCCACGUGUGGGAUUUUGUAUGUACCAUAUGACUACGGAUCGGCUAACUCCGUGCCAGCAGCCGCGGUAAUACGGAGGAUCCGAGCGUUAUCCGGAUUUAUUGGGUUUAAAGGGAGCGUAGGUGGAUUGUUAAGUCAGUUGUGAAAGUUUGCGGCUCAACCGUAAAAUUGCAGUUGAAACUGGCAGUCUUGAGUACAGUAGAGGUGGGCGGAAUUCGUGGUGUAGCGGUGAAAUGCUUAGAUAUCACGAAGAACUCCGAUUGCGAAGGCAGCUCACAAGACUACAACUGACACUGAUGCUCGAAAGUGUGAGUAUCAAACAG
Molecule: ribosomal RNA, 416 nt
Filed under: uncultured bacterium
Lineage: Bacteria
Description: bacterial SSU rRNA
Rfam family: Bacterial small subunit ribosomal RNA
Source: RNAcentral